Molecule: unclassified non-coding RNA, 1944 nt
Filed under: Hevea brasiliensis (rubber tree)
Lineage: Eukaryota; Viridiplantae; Streptophyta; Magnoliopsida; Malpighiales; Euphorbiaceae
Source: RNAcentral
CCUUGCAAAAGUAGCGAAAUCCUGUACUAAAUCGGGCAGCGGGUUGAGUUGAACUGAAUACACGUGAUAGACAUUAACAAACUCUUUGUUGCACUUACCAAUAACACUUGUGCAAGAGAAAUGCUCCAACAUAACAAUACUAACUGCCACACUCUUGCACUCGCAGUGAAUCACAUAGUUUAACGCUCUCACUUUACCUCACACUGAAUCUCUUGGAGCCUAAGGCCAAAUUGCAGACCUACCAGAGGUCGACGUUGGUCAUGGAAGAAGCUUUCCCCUUGUCAACAAACAAUUAGAUAUUUCGAUUGACAGAUGUGAAUAAACAGAAUCGCUAGGGAGAUAGAAAAAUAUGAGGAGAUUCUAGAGAGGAAGGAAGUGGGUAAUUUUCACACAGCAAGUAGGGUUGAAAUUCUGAAAAAUUACAAGGUUUCAUAUUCUCAAUCAGCAAGUAUCAUCUUUAAUUAUUGCAGAAAUAGUGGAUUCUUCACAUCAAACAGUGCUAUUACAAUCUCAAAAUGAACAGGGAGGGAACUUCAAGUCCAAAGGAUCUAAAGUUGGGAGAGAAGUUCAACCGACUCUUGGCGUGGACUGCACAAAGCAACCAAGGGCUUAGCCUUAGAAAGCGAGAUUCUAUAAUUGUAGCUCAUGUCCACUUUCUCUAACCCAUCCUUUUCCCAUUCAAAGCACUGAAUAAGCACACCCAAUGCCAAUGAAACCAUGCGCAUGCCCAUGCCAGCACCGGGACAUGCUCUCCUCCCUGCACCAAAAGGAAUAUACUUGAAGCCAUGUUGUUCCCCUAAAUGUCCCUCAAAUCUUUCAGGCUUGAACUCAUUGGGAUUCUCCCAAACUUUGGGGUCCCUAUGCAUCGCCCAAACAUUCACCAACAGUAUUGUGUCCCUUGGGAUCUCAAAUUCUCCGACUGUGCAACUUUCAGAUGACAAAUGAGGUAACAUAAGGGGUCCUGCAGGAUAUAAUCUAAGUGUCUCAUUUAUGACACACCGGAGGUAGGGAAGCUUGACAAGAUCCAAAUCAUUCAGCAAUUGCCCAUGUCCAACAUGGUGAUCAAUCUCUGCUUUCACUCUCUGUAAUGCGUCUGGAUUAUCCAAGAGGAGUGACAUUACCCAUUCCAAAGUGACUGCUGAUGUUUCUGCUCCGGCGAUGAACAUCAUCACCAUAAUACUUUUGAUAACUUCGUCUGUGUAAAAUUCAGGUUCUAAUUCUUGCAGGGACAGUAGAGUUUCAACCAGAGACCUUUUCUCUUCCUCAUCUGAUGUUUUGGAAUUGAUUCUCUUUAGUUUAACUUCGUCUAACAAAUUUUGCAAAAAUUUAUCUCUCAUGUUAUUCAUCUUUAUCAUGCUCUUCUCUAUCCCUUUGAAACCAAUCAUCCUCAAGACUGGGAUAAAAUCACAGAUAUUCAAGGAGAGGCUUGGAAAGAACGUCUCCUUGAAUUCUCGAAAUAAUUGCUUCUCCAACUCUGAAUCCUCAGUCUCCACUUCCACACAACGUUUUCCGACGGUCAUUCUCAUCAUCACAUUGCAGGUUAGAAGAGAAAAUAGAAACUUCAAAUCCACCUUUCGCUUGCCACCAGUUGAGACCCUAAACAGUCGGCAGAGUAGCAUACCAACUUCAUCCUCACGGAUGGCAGAAGUUUUCUGGAGGCUCUUCGAACAGAAGACUUCAACAACAGUGAGUCGCCGUAGGAUCCGCCAAAAAUCACCGUAAGGUGCCCAAACAAAGGCAGAAUAGUUGUAGGUGAAAUGAUCCCCAGCCAUGGACUGGGGUCGGUUUGCAAAUAUUAUAUCAUUCUUGGUUAAGCAUUCUUCAACUGCGGAUGGUGAAGAAACUACAAUAACAGAUCGGGAACCAAAUUUUAGGGAUAGAAUUGGACCGUAUUGUGACAGGAGAGUCUGUAGCGCCAGGGGAAGUGGCUUCCGGAUGAGGUGG